UACGGAGGGAGCUAGCGUUGUUCGGAAUUACUGGGCGUAAAGCGCACGUAGGCGGCUAUUCAAGUCAGAGGUGAAAGCCCGGGGCUCAACCCCGGAACUGCCUUUGAAACUAGAUAGCUAGAAUCUUGGAGAGGUCAGUGGAAUUCCGAGUGUAGAGGUGAAAUUCGUAGAUAUUCGGAAGAACACCAGUGGCGAAGGCGACUGACUGGACAAGUAUUGACGCUGAGGUGCGAAAGCGUGGGGAGCAAACAGGAUAGAAACCCUUGG
Molecule: ribosomal RNA, 267 nt
Filed under: uncultured bacterium
Lineage: Bacteria
Description: partial 16S ribosomal RNA
Rfam family: Bacterial small subunit ribosomal RNA
Source: RNAcentral